UAGUAAUUUAUUAAAAGUAAGUUNUGCCCUAUGAAUAGUUAAAUGGCUGCAGUAUACUGACUGUGCAAAGGUAGCAUAAUAAUUAGUCUUUUAAUUGAAGGCUGGUAUGAAUGAAUACAUGAGGGAUUUAUUUUAUUUCUUUUAAUUUUAAAACUUGAUUUUUUAGUAAAAAAGCUUAAAUUUUUUUUUGGGACGAUAAGACCCUAUAGAACUUUAUUUUUAUUUAUAAUCUUUAAUAUCUAGUUUAAUUUAUUAUUGAUUUAAUUAAAUUUUUUACUGGGGAGGUAAAUAAAUUUGACUUUAUUUAAAUUUUUCAUUUAUUUAUGUUUAUUUGAUCCAUUUAUGAUUAUAAGAUUAAGUUACCUUAGGGAUAACAGCGUAAUUUUAAUGGGGAGUUCUUAUUUAUAUUAAAGUUUGCGACCUCGAUGUUGAAUUAAGAUAAUAUUAAGGGGCAG
RNAcentral lists this ribosomal RNA (455 nucleotides) under Anacuerna centrolinea. RNAcentral describes it as "partial large subunit ribosomal RNA". Lineage: Eukaryota; Metazoa; Arthropoda; Insecta; Hemiptera; Cicadellidae. The record is from RNAcentral.